GAAUGCUGGCGGCAGGCCUAACACAUGCAAGUCGAGCGGUAGAGAGAAGCUUGCUUCUCUUGAGAGCGGCGGACGGGUGAGUAAUGCCUAGGAAUCUGCCUAGUGGUGGGGGAUAACGUUCGGAAACGGACGCUAAUACCGCAUACGUCCUACGGGAGAAAGCGGGGGAUCUUCGGACCUCGCGCCAUUAGAUGAGCCUAGGUCGGAUUAGCUAGUUGGUGAGGUAAUGGCUCACCAAGGCGACGAUCCGUAACUGGUCUGAGAGGAUGAUCAGUCACACUGGAACUGAGACACGGUCCAGACUCCUACGGGAGGCAGCAGUGGGGAAUAUUGGACAAUGGGCGAAAGCCUGAUCCAGCCAUGCCGCGUGUGUGAAGAAGGUCUUCGGAUUGUAAAGCACUUUAAGUUGGGAGGAAGGGCAGUAACCUAAUACGUUAUUGUUUUGACGUUACCGACAGAAUAAGCACCGGCUAACUUCGUG
Molecule: ribosomal RNA, 481 nt
Filed under: uncultured bacterium
Lineage: Bacteria
Description: bacterial SSU rRNA
Rfam family: Bacterial small subunit ribosomal RNA
Source: RNAcentral